GAUGAACGCUGGCGGCGUGCUUAACACAUGCAAGUCGAACGAAGCACUUAAUGAGAUUUCUUCGGAUUGAUUAUUUUGUGACUGAGUGGCGGACGGGUGAGUAACGCGUGGGUAACCUGCCCCAGACCGGGGGAUAACAGUCGGAAAUGACUGCUAAUACCGCAUAAGCGCACAGUGCCGCAUGGCACGGUGUGAAAAACUCCGGUGGUCUGGGAUGGACCCGCGUCCGAUUAGUUAGUUGGCGGGGUAACGGCCCACCAAGACCGCGAUCGGUAGCCGACCUGAGAGGGUGACCGGCCACAUUGGGACUGAGACACGGCCCAGACUCCUACGGGAGGCAGCAGUGGGGAAUAUUGCACAAUGGAGGAAACUCUGAUGCAGCGACGCCGCGUGAGCGAAGAAGUAUUUCGGUAUGUAAAGCUCUAUCAGCAGGGAAGAAGAAAUGACGGUACCUGACUAAGAAGCACCGGCUAAAUACGUG
This 481-nucleotide ribosomal RNA is filed under the name uncultured bacterium. RNAcentral's name for it is "bacterial SSU rRNA". It matches the Rfam family "Bacterial small subunit ribosomal RNA", at positions 28 to 507 of the family's 1533-position model. The record is from RNAcentral.